UACAGAGGUCUCAACCGUUGUUCGGAUUCAUUGGGCGUAAAGGGUGCGUAGGCGGUCGCGCAAGUCGGAUGUGAAAUCUCAGGGCUCAACCCUGAAACUGCAUUCGAUACUGCGUGGCUAGAGUGCUGGAGAGGAGACUGGAAUUUACGGUGUAGCAGUGAAAUGCGUAGAGAUCGUAAGGAAGACCAGUGGCGAAGGCGAGUUUCUGGACGGUAACUGACGCUGAGGCACGAAGGCCAGGGGAGCGAACGGG
RNAcentral lists this ribosomal RNA (253 nucleotides) under uncultured bacterium. RNAcentral's name for it is "partial 16S ribosomal RNA". It matches the Rfam family "Bacterial small subunit ribosomal RNA", at positions 524 to 776 of the family's 1533-position model. The record is from RNAcentral.